UGAGAGAGAUCCGGAGGGGAUCUCUUCCAUUGGAAAGGGAUCAUCUCCGGAUCCUUUCCUCCUAAUCCACCAAGUCCAGGGAUCCAGGCCUUUGAAAUUUGAUCAAACGGCUAAAGUUAUUAUAAAUUUUAAUGUGAGCCCCUAUUUGUGGUCGUUGGAUUAAAUUUCAACGGUCAGGAUCCCUAAAGAAGGGAUCCGAGGAUCCCUUUCCAUGUUUAUCCUACAAAUUAAUAAAAUUUGAAAUUUGUUACUCUGUCCAUUUUUCCUAUUUUCCCUAAUUAUACAAGUAGAAAAGAAUUAGCGUGGAUGAAGCUCGUCCCAUUAACUUAAUUUUGUUUUUUGGUUAAUUACUUCUGGGUUUUGGGUUUGGCUUUAAUAAACUCUUUUUUUUAAUGAUCAUAAACCAAAGAACAUUGUUGUCUAUCGUAUCGUCUUCGUCACUAGUACAUGAGUUUGAGAGAAAGUAAUGGAAUGUGAGUGAUUGAUCCACCGUUUAUAUUUGCACAACACAUAUUAUGUGUGUAUAUACGUUGGAUAAAUGAGGGACUACAAAUAUUGUUUGGAUUACGUUAAUGAGUCCAAAUUGCACCGCCAAGAUGAAAAAUGGUGAUUAUGUCGUAACUUCACCGAUUAUGAACAAAGGUUGCGGUGUCAAUCUUUCACUUUAGACUUAAUGAGGAUACCAUAAUAUAAUGACACUUUGAUUUUGUAGAAAUUUAAAUUGGGCUUCAUCUUUUACUUGUAUAGUGAUUGUGGAGCCAAAAAUAAUCACAAGGUGACACGUGGAUUUUUGGGUAAAAGAUGAUAAAAAUACCCUUGAGGCAUACCGGGAUUCCUACGCGCGAGCAGCGGACAAUCAUCUGUCAAUCAAGUCAAAAGUGUCCAAAAUAGGUAACAAAUUUAAAGAUGUUCUCAUCCAUCCUCAUCUUGAGUAAUUAUUUUAUAACCUACAUAACAUUCCAUUUAAGUGGAGGUUAAUUGGCUAAUUAAUGGAUUAAUUCAUAAUUAAUCUAUUAAUCACCAAUUAAAUCAUCCAUUACAACCCAAAAAAUACCCAAGGGCCGGCCACUCUUUCUUCCAAAGAGGGCCGGUCAUGCUCUAUAAAUAGGACUCCAUUUUCUCUAAAAAGCUAGUUCCACACUCUUGAAAAACUCCAAAAAACUCUCCAAAUAUUUUUCUCUCUAAAUUCUAACUUUGGCAUCGGAGGUUCUUCGGCCAAAGCCCCCCAUUCAUCGUGGAUGCGUGAGGCUGUUGGCCUUAACCCAAGGUGUUAAUUGUUUUGUAGGUGCAAUUUUGUCCAAGAAGAAGAAGGCGGAAAUUUGCAUCCACAAUGAUCACAAAUAUUCUUGACAUGUGUAAUUUUUUUUUUU
This 1370-nucleotide long non-coding RNA is filed under the name Malus domestica (apple). RNAcentral's name for it is "long non-coding RNA (MDOM_LNC005042)". The record is from RNAcentral. Lineage: Eukaryota; Viridiplantae; Streptophyta; Magnoliopsida; Rosales; Rosaceae.